AGGAACCAACAAAACAGCACAGGGUCAUUCUACCCCACACUGACUAUGGGCUGGCUGGGAGCUCUGUUCCUGUCUGUCCCCUCAUUCUGGGGACUAGCAGCCACCGUCCCAGGGGUACAGCUUCACACCUUUGUCAUUUCUGCUCAUUCUUCAGGAGCCAAAGCUCAUGCCUGGGGCCUCUGUGGGGUGUGGGCGGCUGGCACACACACACCGUGUGCCCCGGAGAAGACGGUCUGUGAUGCCCUCAACGUUCAACCCGGUACAUUUUGCAAUGGAUAUACUUGGGCGGGCAAAGUUCUACGGGAAGGGGGAAUAAGGCAGAGCAUCCAGCCACAAAGGGUCAACUUGCUGGGUCCUUUUUAAGUGGACCGGGGCACUUACAACGUGCUGGGAACCAGUAGUUGUAAACAAGAAGAAAAACGGUAGGCAACUUAAAGUAAGUGACAGUACACGGCUUCCAAAUUUCCUUUCCAGGAUCCCCAAGCACAGAACUUAAGCCCAGCGUACCUGCUUGCAGGAACCUCUUCGCUCAGUUUCCCCAGGAGUCCUCGCUGCUGUAGGUGGCCUGGCCUCCUGUAGGCGGGGACUCUGUCAAGGGCAGACCCCGUGCGCUUUACCCUGUGCUCAGCAGAGCCUCCGGCUUGGUCACCGGACCUGGCCUCCCACCUUGUCUCCUGCCUGCUCCAGGCCCAGCGAAGCUGCACUCAGUGCCCUCCUGCCCAGGUGCACCGAGUCCUCUGCAGAAUGACCCCAUCUGGUCUCCCACCACCCCCGAUAACCCCUCUGGACCGUUGCUGAAGAGUAUCCUGGCCUGGGACACCCGCCCUGCGCGACGGACGCCAGCCCAGCUCCUGGCUGCCUGUAGGACCCCGAUUGCUUCUGGCGCCUGCCUCUCCACAGUACGAGCCCCGCACCUGUGGCCUCUUGCAAGCGUGGACAUCCAGUCACGGCAGAGCUGGGCAGGGCUGAGCAGGUGCCGCGUCUUCUAAAGAGCUCCCUGCAGUUACGGCUUGAGAGGGCUCCGGAACAUCUCCAUCCUGCCAGUGGUCGCCUGUGCUACCGACCAGCCUCCGCCGCUUUCGACCGGAAGGACAUGACCCUCAGGUGGUGUCACACACACCGUCACCCCCACUCAAAACAGGAAUACCUACGGUGGAGAUGAUGAUGACCAAAUAUUCUUGCCCUUGAAACUCCUCUACUGAUCCAACCUUUAUGUCCAUCAGAUCAACAUUUCGCAAAAGAAUUUUGAUUUUUUCCACCUUUGAAGCAGACAAAAAAAGGACAGAACUUUACAACUCUGACCAUUUCUUUACAUAUUUAAGCACAAGCCAGAUAUUAACCAACAUGCACUGUUGCUUAUCACUUCCAAAUCGUAUUUCAUCUAAGUUGAUUAGGGCACAAAUUCUGAUUUCAGACACAGUGCACUGGGGAAAGGGAGAGGGGGCAGAGUGUCUGGAGUGACGUCUCCCUCUCCCCGCAGGUGCACAUGCCUGCUGCUGGGCGGGCCUGGCCAUCUCAGUGGGGACGGUGCUGGGACCCACAGCCAGGCAGGCUCCAGAGCGCCACACCCCAGGGGCCUGAGGGGCUGGACAGAGGCCCGGAAGCAGGCUCUGCACAACAGCAGCCGGAAGGCAGGGGCAGACGUCUUUGUGAAAGAGCCAGCUCCUGGGGGAAGGGGAGCGGCUGUCACAGAAGCAGGAUGCCGGGUUCUGGAUUGUGUGUCUAGAGACCAAGGUCUCCCAUGGGUGCUGGUGAAGCAAAAACCAGUUUGCAACCUUGGAGAAAAGUGCGCAGAAGACGAAAGCUCAGUGCUAGGGGGAAGCCUGACUGUCCCCCAGGAGGACGCGGAUGGUGGCCCGCUGCCCGCGCCCACUGCCAGGUGCUGUGAAGGGGGCUGUGAACAAGGAAGGAGCAGAGCAGGUGUCGGGAUACGGCACGCGUGAGGCAGAUAAAGUACGCCCGUGCUCCUGCAGACCUCACACUCCGGUGGGCAGACUAACUUCAGUCACGGUCACGUCCGCCACGGCCGCACCAAGGGCCCCGGCGGAGAAGGGCUGCUUGGGGGCGGCCUGCGAUUUGCUGACAGGAGUGGAUGGGCGGUGAUGCACGUGCAGGAAUUGCCAGGCAAAGAGCUGGGUGCUUGGCGAGGGUGGGGAUGCGGGCCCUGCCGGGGAACCACAGGGUGCGGCCCAAACCUUAGGAGCCGGGGCCAGAGCAGACCACGGGGCCUGCAGGGUGGCGGCUGGCUGCAGUCAGGCAGGUGAGCAUACACUCGGGGCCCCCCUCCCUCCCCACGUGUAGGCCUGGGCCCUCUCAGCCAGCCAUCAAAGGAGCGUGCCUCUGCCCCACACGCACGCACAGGUGCUCAGCGUCACCGAUAAUCAGGGAGACACAGGUGAGAGCCACAAGGUCCCCCUCACACAUGGUUUCUACGAAGAAACAAAACAAGCGUCGGGGAGGAUGUGGAGAAACCGGACCCCUGUGCACGGCCCACGGGAAUGUAAAUCGGCACGGUCACUGUGGAAAACGGUGUGGCGGCGCUUCUCAAAGAACGACACCGGAAAUCCGAUGUGAUCCAGCAAUCCCACUCGAGGGUCUCAGAGACAUACCGUAUGCCUGUACCUUGCAGCAUUCCGAACAACAGCUACAACGUGCAGGCGACCCAAGUGUCCGUGAGUGGAUGGACAGAUAAACCAAAGACGGUCCAUCCAGACAAUGGAAUGUUAUUCGGCCUUAGAAGAAAGGAACUUCUCACACCCGUGUCCUGAGGACUUUGUGCUGAGCGAAAUAAGCCAUCACAGAAGACAAUACUGGAAGACUCCACUCAUACGAGGCACCUACAGGAGUCAGAUUCACGGAGCCAGAAAGUAGGUGGUGGGCGCCAGGGGCCUGGGAGCAGGAGGGGCAGUGAGUGUUUAAUGGGGACAGAGUUUCGGUCUGGAAAGAUGGAAAAGUUCUAAUAACUGGAUGCAAAACAAUGUGAAUACGUUUAACACCAAUGAACUGUACAUUUGAAAAUGGCUGAAGUAAAUUUUAUGUCACGUGUUAUUUUGCCACAAUUAAAAAAAAGAGAGAAUACCAGACACAGCAAUUGGACCGUAUUAGCCUUGAGGAUGUCUUUUGCUGUUGUUAAGCCGUACGUAAUUUAUCUGGGGCAGAAGGAGAGGGAGACACAGAAUCCGAAGCAGGCUGCAGGCUCCAGGCUCCGCACCGUCAGCGCAAAGCCCGGUGCGGGGCUUGAACUCACGAACCGUGAGGUCGUGACCUGAGCUGAAG
Molecule: long non-coding RNA, 3276 nt
Organism: Felis catus (domestic cat)
Lineage: Eukaryota; Metazoa; Chordata; Mammalia; Carnivora; Felidae
Exons: 3
Source: RefSeq, a predicted model, not a curated record